Molecule: ribosomal RNA, 236 nt
Filed under: Enterobacter sichuanensis
Lineage: Bacteria; Pseudomonadati; Pseudomonadota; Gammaproteobacteria; Enterobacterales; Enterobacteriaceae
Description: partial 16S ribosomal RNA
Rfam family: Bacterial small subunit ribosomal RNA
Source: RNAcentral
AAAUUGAAGAGUUUGAUCAUGGCUCAGAUUGAACGCUGGCGGCAGGCCUAACACAUGCAAGUCGAACGGUAGCACAGAGAGCUUGCUCUCGGGUGACGAGUGGCGGACGGGUGAGUAAUGUCUGGGAAACUGCCUGAUGGAGGGGGAUAACUACUGGAAACGGUAGCUAAUACCGCAUAACGUCGCAAGACCAAAGAGGGGGACCUUCGGGCCUCUUGCCAUCAGAUGUGCCCAGA